GACGAACGCUGGCGGCGUGCUUAACACAUGCAAGUCGAACGGAAAGGCCCUGCGUUUGUGGGGUGCUCGAGUGGCGAACGGGUGAGUAACACGUGAGUAACCUGCCCUUGACUUUGGGAUAACUUCAGGAAACUGGGGCUAAUACCGGAUAGGAGCUCCUGCUGCAUGGUGGGGGUUGGAAAGUUUCGGCGGUUGGGGAUGGAUUCGCGGCUGAUCAGCUUGUUGGUGGGGGAGUGGCUUGCCAAGGCAUUGACGGGUAGCCGGCCUGAGAGGGGGACCGGCGACAAUGGGCCUGAGAUACGGCCCAGACUCCUACGUGAGGCAGCAGUGGGGAGUAUUGCACAAUGGGCGGACGUCUGAUGCAGCAACGCCGCGUGCGGGAUGACGGUCUUCGGGUAGUAAACCGCUUUAGCUUGUGACGAAGCGUGAGUGACGGUAAUGGGUGAAGAAGCACCGGCUAACUACGUG
This 468-nucleotide ribosomal RNA is filed under the name uncultured bacterium. Its description in RNAcentral is "partial 16S ribosomal RNA". It matches the Rfam family "Bacterial small subunit ribosomal RNA", at positions 28 to 507 of the family's 1533-position model. The record is from RNAcentral.